This 752-nucleotide ribosomal RNA is filed under the name uncultured bacterium. RNAcentral describes it as "bacterial SSU rRNA". It matches the Rfam family "Bacterial small subunit ribosomal RNA", at positions 8 to 796 of the family's 1533-position model. The record is from RNAcentral.
AGAGUUUGAUCAUGGCUCAGAACGAACGCUGGCGGCAUGCCUAACACAUGCAAGUCGAACGGGAUCCAGACUUCGGUCUGGUGAGAGUGGCGGACGGGUGAGUAACGCGUGGGAACCUGCCCAAUGGUCUGGGAUAACCGCGGGAAACUGCGGCUAAUACCGGAUAAGCCCGAGAGGGGAAAGAUUUAUCGCCGAUGGAGGGGCCCGCGUCCGAUUAGGUAGUUGGUGGGGUAAUGGCCUACCAAGCCUGCGAUCGGUAGCUGGUCUGAGAGGAUGAUCAGCCACACUGGGACUGAGAUACGGCCCAGACUCCUACGGGAGGCAGCAGUGGGGAAUAUUGGACAAUGGGGGCAACCCUGAUCCAGCAAUGCCGCGUGAGUGAUGAAGGCCUUAGGGUUGUAAAGCUCUUUUGCCAGGGACGAUGAUGACGGUACCUGGAGAAUAAGCCCCGGCUAACUUCGUGCCAGCAGCCGCGGUAAUACGAAGGGGGCGAGCGUUGUUCGGAAUUACUGGGCGUAAAGGGCGCGUAGGCGGCCGAUCAAGUCAGAUGUGAAAGUCCUGGGCUUAACCUGGGGACUGCAUUUGAUACUGAUUGGCUUGAAUUCGGGAGAGGAUAGCGGAAUUCCCAGUGUAGAGGUGAAAUUCGUAGAUAUUGGGAAGAACACCGGUGGCGAAGGCGGCUAUCUGGACCGACAUUGACGCUGAGGCGCGAAAGCGUGGGGAGCAAACAGGAUUAGAUACCCUAGUAGUCC